AUUGAACGCUGGCGGCAGGCCUAACACAUGCAAGUCGAGCGGUAGCACAGAGAGCCUGCUCUCGGGUGACGAGCGGCGGACGGGUGAGUAAUGUCUGGGAAACUGCCUGAUGGAGGGGGAUAACUACUGGAAACGGUAGCUAAUACCGCAUAACGUCGCAAGACCAAAGUGGGGGACCUUCGGGCCUCAUGCCAUCAGAUGUGCCCAGAUGGGAUUAGCUAGUAGGUGGGGUAACGGCUCACCUAGGCGACGAUCCCUAGCUGGUCUGAGAGGAUGACCAGCCACACUGGAACUGAGACACGGUCCAGACUCCUACGGGAGGCAGCAGUGGGGAAUAUUGCACAAUGGGCGCAAGCCUGAUGCAGCCAUGCCGCGUGUGUGAAGAAGGCCUUCGGGUUGUAAAGCACUUUCAGCGGGGAGGAAGGCGUUAAGGUUAAUAACCUUGGCGAUUGACGUUACCCGCAGAAGAAGCACCGGCUAACUCCGUGCCAGCAGCCGCGGUAAUACGGAGGGUGCAAGCGUUAAUCGGAAUUACUGGGCGUAAAGCGCACGCAGGCGGUCUGUCAAGUCGGAUGUGAAAUCCCCGGGCUCAACCUGGGAACUGCAUUCGAAACUGGCAGGCUAGAGUCUUGUAGAGGGGGGUAGAAUUCCAGGUGUAGCGGUGAAAUGCGUAGAGAUCUGGAGGAAUACCGGCGGCGAAGGCGGCCCCCUGGACAAAGACUGACGCUCAGGUGCGAAAGCGUGGGGAGCAAACAGGAUUAGAUACCCUGGUAGUCCACGCUGUAAACGAUGUCGAUUUGGAGGUUGUGCCCUUGAGGCGUGGCUUCCGGAGCUAACGCGUUAAAUCGACCGCCUGGGGAGUACGGCCGCAAGGUUAAAACUCAAAUGAAUUGACGGGGGCCCGCACAAGCGGUGGAGCAUGUGGUUUAAUUCGAUGCAACGCGAAGAACCUUACCUGGUCUUGACAUCCACAGAACUUAGCAGAGAUGCUUUGGUGCCUUCGGGAACUGUGAGACAGGUGCUGCAUGGCUGUCGUCAGCUCGUGUUGUGAAAUGUUGGGUUAAGUCCCGCAACGAGCGCAACCCUUAUCCUUUGUUGCCAGCGGUCCGGCCGGGAACUCAAAGGAGACUGCCAGUGAUAAACUGGAGGAAGGUGGGGAUGACGUCAAGUCAUCAUGGCCCUUACGACCAGGGCUACACACGUGCUACAAUGGCAUAUACAAAGAGAAGCGACCUCGCGAGAGCAAGCGGACCUCAUAAAGUAUGUCGUAGUCCGGAUUGGAGUCUGCAACUCGACUCCAUGAAGUCGGAAUCGCUAGUAAUCGUAGAUCAGAAUGCUACGGUGAAUACGUUCCCGGGCCU
This 1361-nucleotide ribosomal RNA is filed under the name uncultured bacterium. RNAcentral's name for it is "bacterial SSU rRNA". It matches the Rfam family "Bacterial small subunit ribosomal RNA", at positions 28 to 1381 of the family's 1533-position model. The record is from RNAcentral.